This 806-nucleotide ribosomal RNA is filed under the name uncultured Pelagibacteraceae bacterium. Its description in RNAcentral is "bacterial SSU rRNA". It matches the Rfam family "Bacterial small subunit ribosomal RNA", at positions 34 to 888 of the family's 1533-position model. Lineage: Bacteria; Pseudomonadati; Pseudomonadota; Alphaproteobacteria; Candidatus Pelagibacterales; Candidatus Pelagibacteraceae. The record is from RNAcentral.
CGCUGGCGGCACGCCUAACACAUGCAAGUCGAACGAAGUAGCAAUACUUAGUGGCAGACGGGUGAGUAACAUGUAGGUAUCUACCCUUUGGCCUGGAAUAACACGAGGAAACUUGUGCUAAUACCGGAUAAGUCUUUACGGAGAAAGCUUUAUGCACCAUUGGAUGAGCCUGCAUUUGAUUAGUUUGUUGGUAGGGUAAUGGCCUACCAAGACUGUGAUCAAUAGCUGAUUUGAGAGGAUGAUCAGCCACAUUGGGACUGAGACACGGCCCAAACUCCUACGGGAGGCAGCAGUGGGGAAUCUUGCACAAUGGAGGAAACUCUGAUGCAGCGAUGCCGCGUGAGUGAAGAAGGCCCUUGGGUUGUAAAGCUCUUUCGUCGGGGAAGAAAAUGACUGUACCCGAAUAAGAAGGUCCGGCUAACUUCGUGCCAGCAGCCGCGGUAAUACGAAGGGACCUAGCGUAGUUCGGAAUUACUGGGCUUAAAGAGUUCGUAGGUGGUUGAAAAAGUUGGUGGUGAAAUCCCAGAGCUUAACUCUGGAACUGCCAUCAAAACUUUUCAGCUAGAGUAUGAUAGAGGAAAGCAGAAUUUCUAGUGUAGAGGUGAAAUUCGUAGAUAUUAGAAAGAAUACCAAUUGCGAAGGCAGCUUUCUGGAUCAUUACUGACACUGAGGAACGAAAGCAUGGGUAGCGAAGAGGAUUAGAUACCCUCGUAGUCCAUGCCGUAAACGAUGUGUGUUAGACGUUGGAAAUUUAUUUUCAGUGUCGCAGUGAAAACGAUAAACACACCGCCUGGGGAGUACGACCG